UACAGGUCUGAAUGAUUGUGUUGUUUGAUUUAGCUAAGCUUUGAAUUAUGUCUCGGAGAUAGUGGAAGAAGUGUAGUGAUUUUCGGGAUCUUUUAGAACUAUUAAAGAUCACCCCUUUUGGUAGUCUAAAUCUCCAGUUAUGAGCUUGUUGUGAAAGCAAGACCUCAACUUAUGGCUGUCUAAAGUUUAAUGUUAGAAUCUAUCCAAGUUUGGACAGAUUUGCUUCUUUGUGUUGUAUAGUCUUGUUAACUGUUGAAUCAUCUUGAGAUGAUAACAAUAAACUUAUAGAUACCUUAAUAAGGUUUCUACCAAGUUAAGAAACAUGCUUGGUGGAUGUCUAGAACUCCAUAUAUGCAUCUCUGAAGUUCAUG
RNAcentral lists this long non-coding RNA (371 nucleotides) under Setaria viridis. RNAcentral describes it as "long non-coding RNA (SVIR_LNC007940)". Lineage: Eukaryota; Viridiplantae; Streptophyta; Magnoliopsida; Poales; Poaceae. The record is from RNAcentral.